This 454-nucleotide ribosomal RNA is filed under the name uncultured bacterium. Its description in RNAcentral is "bacterial SSU rRNA". It matches the Rfam family "Bacterial small subunit ribosomal RNA", at positions 8 to 507 of the family's 1533-position model. The record is from RNAcentral.
AGAGUUUGAUCCUGGCUCAGAACGAACGCUGGCGGCAAGGCUUAACACAUGCAAGUCGAACGGUUGUAGCAAUACAGCAGUGGCAGACGGGUGAGUAACACGUGGGAACCUUCCUAGGGGUACGGAACAACUCAGGGAAACUUGAGCUAAUACCGUAUACGUCCGUGAGGAGAAAGAUUUAUCGCCCUUAGACGGGCCCGCGUCGGAUUAGCUAGUCGUGGGGUAACGGCCUACCAAGGCGACGAUCCGUAGCUGAUCUUAGAGGAUGAUCAGCCACACUGGGACUGAGACACGGCCCAGACUCCUACGGGAGGCAGCAGUGGGAAUCUUGGACAAUGGGCGCAAGCCUGAUCCAGCCAUGCCGCGUGAGUGAAGAAGGUCUUCGGAUUGUAAAGCUCUUUUGCCAGGGACGAUAAUGACGGUACCUGGAGAAUAAGCCCCGGCAAACUUCGUG